AAGCUCACUUUGGCAGCAUAUAUACUAAAAUUGGAAUAAUACAGAGAAGUUUAGCAUGGCUUCUGCACGAGUUUUUAAUUUUAAUUUAAUUUU
RNAcentral lists this small nuclear RNA (93 nucleotides) under Neotoma lepida (desert woodrat). The record is from RNAcentral. Lineage: Eukaryota; Metazoa; Chordata; Mammalia; Rodentia; Cricetidae.